UACGAACGGUCCAAACGUUAUUCGGAAUCACUGGGCCUAAAGCGUCCGUAGGCGGCUCGGAAAGUAGGGUGUGAAAUCCCACGGCUCAACCGUGGAAUUGCGCUCUAAACUAUCGAGCUAGAGGGAGAUAGAGGUGAGCGGAACUGAUGGUGGAGCGGUGAAAUGCGUUGAUAUCAUCAGGAACACCGGAGGCGAAGGCGGCUCACUGGGUCUUUUCUGACGCUGAGGGACGAAAGCUAGGGGAGCGAACGGG
Molecule: ribosomal RNA, 253 nt
Filed under: uncultured bacterium
Lineage: Bacteria
Description: partial 16S ribosomal RNA
Rfam family: Bacterial small subunit ribosomal RNA
Source: RNAcentral